RNAcentral lists this long non-coding RNA (327 nucleotides) under Setaria italica (foxtail millet). RNAcentral's name for it is "long non-coding RNA (SITA_LNC000840)". The record is from RNAcentral. Lineage: Eukaryota; Viridiplantae; Streptophyta; Magnoliopsida; Poales; Poaceae.
CUUUAUCACUUUCAGAAACACCUCAAGGUUGUCUUUUUUAAAAAAGAAAGGAAAGGAAAAGAAAAGAAAAGAAAAGAAAAUGGUAUGUUUGAUUGUUACCAUGCUCAAUUAUGUUUGAGAGUUCCCAGGAACCACAAUGUCUACUAAACUACUUGCCAAUCCAUGGUUUCAUGGCUUUGUGUUCAAUUUUGUCAGCUGAAAAGAGGGUGUGUUCUCACCGCGGGAUCGGAGUGGCUCCCCGAGCAAAGCGCAAAGCGCAAGAGAGGCUCCGACUGAUGAACGGCAAAGGCCUGCCACUCGCCGCCGCCGGCUUUGCUGAUGCUUCCC